This 425-nucleotide ribosomal RNA is filed under the name uncultured bacterium. Its description in RNAcentral is "bacterial SSU rRNA". It matches the Rfam family "Bacterial small subunit ribosomal RNA", at positions 356 to 773 of the family's 1533-position model. The record is from RNAcentral.
GGGGAAUAUUGGACAAUGGGCGCAAGCCUGAUCCAGCAAUGCCGCGUGUGUGAAGAAGGCCUGCGGGUUGUAAAGCACUUUUGUUCGGGAAGAAAUCAUGCCGGUUAAUACCUGGUAUGGAUGACGGUACCGAAAGAAUAAGCACCGGCUAACUUCGUGCCAGCAGCCGCGGUAAUACGAAGGGUGCAAGCGUUAAUCGGAAUUACUGGGCGUAAAGGGUGCGUAGGCGGCCUUUUAAGUCGGAUGUGAAAUCCCCGGGCUCAACCUGGGAAUGGCAUUCGAUACUGGGAGGCUAGAGUGUGGGAGAGGGUGGUGGAAUUCCCGGUGUAGCGGUGAAAUGCGUAGAGAUCGGGAGGAACAGCAGUGGCGAAGGCGGCCACCUGGCCUAAAACUGACGCUGAGGCACGAAAGCGUGGGGAGCAAAC